This 216-nucleotide ribosomal RNA is filed under the name Glomeromycotina sp. RNAcentral's name for it is "partial small subunit ribosomal RNA". The stretch from base 40 to 216 matches the Rfam family "Eukaryotic small subunit ribosomal RNA", at positions 686 to 864 of the family's 1831-position model. Lineage: Eukaryota; Fungi; Glomeromycota. The record is from RNAcentral.
GGGUCAGUAGGUUGGUCGUGCCACCGGUACGUACUGGUCUCACUGAUUCCUCCUUCCUGAAGAACCGUAGUGCCAUUAAUUUGGUGUUGCGGGGAAACAGGACUGUUACUUUGAAAAAAUUAGAGUGUUUAAAGCAGGCUAACGCUUGAAUACGUUAGCAUGGAAUAAUGAAAUAGGACGAUCGAUCCUAUUUUGUUGGUUUCUAGGAUUGACGUA